AACUCUAAGCGGUGGAUCACUCGGCUCAUG
RNAcentral lists this non-coding RNA (30 nucleotides) under Drosophila erecta. The record is from RNAcentral. Lineage: Eukaryota; Metazoa; Arthropoda; Insecta; Diptera; Drosophilidae. RNAcentral also lists the same sequence under 5 other names.